Molecule: ribosomal RNA, 492 nt
Filed under: Escherichia coli
Lineage: Bacteria; Pseudomonadati; Pseudomonadota; Gammaproteobacteria; Enterobacterales; Enterobacteriaceae
Description: bacterial SSU rRNA
Rfam family: Bacterial small subunit ribosomal RNA
Source: RNAcentral
GCUUGGGCUUCUUUGCUGACGAGUGGCGGACGGGUGAGUAAUGUCUGGGAAACUGCCUGAUGGAGGGGGAUAACUACUGGAAACGGUAGCUAAUACCGCAUAACGUCGCAAGACCAAAGAGGGGGACCUUCGGGCCUCUUGCCAUCGGAUGUGCCCAGAUGGGAUUAGCUAGUAGGUGGGGUAACGGCUCACCUAGGCGACGAUCCCUAGCUGGUCUGAGAGGAUGACCAGCCACACUGGAACUGAGACACGGUCCAGACUCCUACGGGAGGCAGCAGUGGGGAAUAUUGCACAAUGGGCGCAAGCCUGAUGCAGCCAUGCCGCGUGUAUGAAGAAGGCCUUCGGGUUGUAAAGUACUUUCAGCGGGGAGGAAGGGAGUAAAGUUAAUACCUUUGCUCAUUGACGUUACCCGCAGAAGAAGCACCGGCUAACUCCGUGCCAGCAGCCGCGGUAAUACGGAGGGUGCAAGCGUUAAUCGGAAUUACUGGGCGU